Molecule: ribosomal RNA, 301 nt
Filed under: uncultured bacterium
Lineage: Bacteria
Description: partial 16S ribosomal RNA
Rfam family: Bacterial small subunit ribosomal RNA
Source: RNAcentral
CAGCAGCCGCGGUAAUACGAAGGGUGCAAGCGUUAAUCGGAAUUACUGGGCGUAAAGCGUGCGUAGGCGGUUUGUUAAGUCUGUUGUGAAAUCCCCGGGCUCAACCUGGGAAUGGCAAUGGAUACUGGCAAGCUAGGGUGUGUCAGAGGAUGGUGGAAUUCCCGGUGUAGCGGUGAAAUGCGUAGAGAUCGGGAGGAACAUCAGUGGCGAAGGCGGCCAUCUGGGACAACACUGACGCUGAGGCACGAAAGCGUGGGGAGCAAACAGGAUUAGAUACCCCAGUAGUCCCUGUCUCUUAUAC